AGAUUGAACGCUGGCGGUAUGCUUAACACAUGCAAGUCGAACGGUAACAGGAGAGAGCUUGCUCUCUUGCUGACGAGUGGCGGACGGGUGAGUAACGCGUAAGAAUCUGCCUAGUAGUGGGGGAUAACUACCGGAAACGGUAGCUAAUACCGCAUACGCCCUACGGGGGAAAGUGGGGGACCUUCGGGCCUCACGCUAUUAGAUGAGCUUGCGUAGGAUUAGCUAGUUGGUGAGGUAAUGGCUCACCAAGGCGACGAUCCUUAGCUGGUUUGAGAGAACGAUCAGCCACACUGGGACUGAGACACGGCCCAGACUCCUACGGGAGGCAGCAGUGGGGAAUAUUGGACAAUGGGCGCAAGCCUGAUCCAGCAAUACCGCGUGUGUGAAGAAGGCCUGAGGGUUGUAAAGCACUUUCAAUUGUGAAGAAAAGCCUGAGGUUAAUAGCCUCGAGUCUUGACGUUAACUUUAGAAGAAGCACCGGCUAACUCUGUGCCAGCAGCCGCGGUAAUACAGAGGGUGCGAGCGUUAAUCGGAAUUACUGGGCGUAAAGCGUGCGUAGGUGGUUUAGUAAGUCAGAUGUGAAAGCCCUGGGCUCAACCUGGGAACUGCAUUUGAAACUGCUGAACUAGAGUAUGGUAGAGGGAAGUGGAAUUCAGGGUGUAGCGGUGAAAUGCGUAGAUAUCCUGAGGAACACCAGUGGCGAAGGCGACUUCCUGGACCGAUACUGACACUGAGGCACGAAAGCGUGGGUAGCAAACAGGAUUAGAUACCCUGGUAGUCCACGCCGUAAACGAUGUCAACUAGUUGUUGGGAGCAUUUUGGCUUUUAGUAACGUAGCUAACGCGAUAAGUUGACCGCCUGGGGAGUACGGCCGCAAGGUUA
This 882-nucleotide ribosomal RNA is filed under the name uncultured bacterium. RNAcentral's name for it is "bacterial SSU rRNA". It matches the Rfam family "Bacterial small subunit ribosomal RNA", at positions 26 to 896 of the family's 1533-position model. The record is from RNAcentral.